AGCCCGGUGGUGUAGCGGCCAAAGAAACGCAAAAAACUUUUACGGUUAAGCAUUCAGGGCUUUGGACCCUGAAACGCCAGUUCGAAUCUGGCCCGGGCUACCA
RNAcentral lists this transfer RNA (103 nucleotides) under Candidatus Wukongarchaeota archaeon. Its description in RNAcentral is "tRNA-Gln". It matches the Rfam family "tRNA". From Rfam's summary of the family: Transfer RNA (tRNA) molecules are approximately 80 nucleotides in length. Their secondary structure includes four short double-helical elements and three loops (D, anti-codon, and T loops). Further hydrogen bonds mediate the characteristic L-shaped molecular structure. tRNAs have two regions of fundamental functional importance: the anti-codon, which is responsible for specific mRNA codon recognition, and the 3' end, to which the tRNAs corresponding amino acid is attached (by aminoacyl-tRNA synthetases). tRNAs cope with the degeneracy of the genetic code in two manners: having more than one tRNA (with a specific anti-codon) for a particular amino acid; and 'wobble' base-pairing, i.e. permitting non-standard base-pairing at the 3rd anti-codon position. Lineage: Archaea; Promethearchaeati; Candidatus Wukongarchaeota. The record is from RNAcentral.